UUUCCGUAGGUGAACCUGCGGAAGGAUCAUUAAUGAAAUAACUAUGGCGUUGGUUGUAGCUGGCUCCUAGGAGCAUGUGCACACCCGUCAUUCUUAUCUUUCCACCUGUGCACUUAAUGUAGGUCUGUAUAACUCUCGCUCAUACCGAGCGGAUGCAGGGAUUGCCGUGUCGAAAGACCGGCUCUCUUUGAAUUUCCAGGUCUAUGUACCUUUACAAACUCCAAUUGUAUGAUAAUGAAUGUAGUCAAUGGGCUUUCAUGCCUAUAAAACAAAAUACAACUUUCAGCAACGGAUCUCUUGGCUCUC
This 306-nucleotide unclassified non-coding RNA is filed under the name plant metagenome. Its description in RNAcentral is "partial contains small subunit ribosomal RNA, internal transcribed spacer 1, and 5.8S ribosomal RNA". The record is from RNAcentral.